AACGAACGCUGGCGGCAUGCCUAACACAUGCAAGUCGAACGAAGCCUUCGGGCUUAGUGGCGCACGGGUGCGUAACGCGUGGGAACCUGCCUUUAGGUUCGGAAUAACACAGAGAAAUUUGUGCUAAUACCGGAUGAUGUCUUCGGACCAAAGAUUUAUCGCCUUUAGAUGGGCCCGCGUUGGAUUAGCUAGUUGGUAGGGUAAAGGCCUACCAAGGCGACGAUCCAUAGCUGGUCUGAGAGGAUGAUCAGCCACACUGGGACUGAGACACGGCCCAGACUCCUACGGGAGGCAGCAGUGGGGAAUAUUGGACAAUGGGCGAAAGCCUGAUCCAGCAAUGCCGCGUGAGUGAUGAAGGCCUUAGGGUUGUAAAGCUCUUUUACCAGGGAUGAUAAUGACAGUACCUGGAGAAUAAGCUCCGGCUAACUCCGUG
RNAcentral lists this ribosomal RNA (433 nucleotides) under uncultured bacterium. RNAcentral describes it as "bacterial SSU rRNA". It matches the Rfam family "Bacterial small subunit ribosomal RNA", at positions 29 to 507 of the family's 1533-position model. The record is from RNAcentral.